RNAcentral lists this small nuclear RNA (287 nucleotides) under Castor canadensis (American beaver). RNAcentral describes it as "7SK RNA (ENSCCNG00000007091.1)". It matches the Rfam family "7SK RNA". From Rfam's summary of the family: 7SK was discovered as an abundant small nuclear RNA in the mid-70s but a possible function has only recently been suggested. Two independent studies have found that 7SK RNA binds the CDK9/cyclin T complex (known as elongation factor P-TEFb). The record is from RNAcentral. Lineage: Eukaryota; Metazoa; Chordata; Mammalia; Rodentia; Castoridae.
GAACACGAGGGUGAUCUGGCUGUGACAUCUGUCACCCCAUUGAUCGCCAGGGUUGAUUCGGCUGAUCUGGCUGGCUAGGCGGGUGUCCCCUUCCUCCCUCACUGCUCUUUGGGCAUCCCUUCUGAAGCUGCACGCUCAGUGGAAGAGGAAGAGCAUCCCCAAUAGAAGAGGACCGUUCUUUGGUCAAGGUAUAGGAGUAGCUGCGCUCUCCUGCUAGAACCUCUAACUAAACAAGCUCUCAGGAUGGAACAAUGUGCUGGAGGUCCCAAAAUCUCAAGCUUUUAUUG